AACGAACGCUGGCGGCAUGCCUAACACAUGCAAGUCGAACGAGACCUUCGGGUCUAGUGGCGCACGGGUGCGUAACGCGUGGGAACCUGCCCUUAGGUUCGGAAUAACUCCCCGAAAGGGGUGCUAAUACCGGAUAAUGUCUUCGGACCAAAGAUUUAUCGCCUUUGGAUGGGCCCGCGUUGGAUUAGCUAUUUGGUAGGGUAAAAGCCUACCAAGGCGACGAUCCAUAGCUGGUCUGAGAGGAUGAUCAGCCACACUGGGACUGAGACACGGCCCAGACCCUCCGGGGGGGGAGAAAGGGGGAAGUUGGGACACGGGGGGAAGGCUGAAGCCAGAAGGCCCGGUGAAGGGUGUAAGGCGUGAGGUUUAAAAGUGUUUUUAACCGGGGAUGAAAAGACAGUACCGGGGGAAAAAACCUCGGCUAACUCCGGG
This 432-nucleotide ribosomal RNA is filed under the name uncultured bacterium. Its description in RNAcentral is "partial 16S ribosomal RNA". It matches the Rfam family "Bacterial small subunit ribosomal RNA", at positions 29 to 507 of the family's 1533-position model. The record is from RNAcentral.